AGAUUGAACGCUGGCGGCAUGCCUAACACAUGCAAGUCGAACGGGAGUAGCAAUACUCUAGUGGCGGACGGGUGAGGAAUACGUAGGAAUUUGCCCUUAAGUGGGGGAUAACCCGGGGAAACCCGGAUUAAUACCGCAUGACCUCGAAAGAGCAAAGUGGGGGAUCGCAAGACCUCACGCUUUUGGAGAAGCCUACGUCGGAUUAGCUAGUUGGUGAGGUAAUGGCUCACCAAGGCGACGAUCCGUAACUGGUCUGAGAGGAUGAUCAGUCACACCGGAACUGAGACACGGUCCGGACUCCUACGGGAGCAGCAGUGGGGAAUAUGGACAAUGGGCGCAAGCCUGAUCCAGCAAUGCCGCGUGUGUGAAGAAGGCCUUCGGUUGUAAAGCACUUUAAGUUAGGGAAGAAAAACUACGCUACUAACAACAGUGAGUCUUGACGGUACCGACAGAAUAAGCACGGACUAACUCUGCGUCAGCAGCCGC
RNAcentral lists this ribosomal RNA (486 nucleotides) under uncultured soil bacterium. RNAcentral's name for it is "bacterial SSU rRNA". It matches the Rfam family "Bacterial small subunit ribosomal RNA", at positions 26 to 518 of the family's 1533-position model. The record is from RNAcentral.